This 1055-nucleotide long non-coding RNA is filed under the name Marmota monax (woodchuck). The record is from RNAcentral. Lineage: Eukaryota; Metazoa; Chordata; Mammalia; Rodentia; Sciuridae.
CUGGCCUUGACUCACCAGGACUCCUCAGAUCAGCUUCUCAAAAUGAGGCUCCCUGCUCAGCUCCUGGGACUGCUGCUUCUCUGGAUCCCUGGUGAGGACACAAGGAAGGAGAAUGGGGAGAGAGGGUGAGCUCUGAGCAUCCUCUGCUGCCUGUGUGUAUUGUGUACACAUGAGCAAUGUGCAGUUCCUGUCCCCUGGGUUGUGCAUGUGCUGUUUAAAUCUGUGAGAAAGAGGAAGUUUUAAGAAUAAGCAAAGACUUGUAAUCAGGUGAAGACUAGCACUAAUGGAGCCAGAUAACAGCAGAUUUCCUAAAGACUCUCUAUGCUUUAAACUAUUUGUGUCUUUUAUUGAAUAUUUUUACAAUGUGAAUCAAAGCUAUGAAAAACAUUUAUGCAGAAAUGAAAAAAAGAAAAUACAAAAAUUACAACAUUUAUAUAUAAACAUGUGCUUCUGUCAUAAUUACAGGAUGCAAUGGGGAUAAUGUGAUGACCCAGACUCCUCUCUCCCUGUCGGUUCCCCCUGGACAGCCAGCCUCCAUCUCCUGCAGGUCCAGUCAGAGUCUCCUACACAGUGAUGGCAACAGUUAUUUGAGUUGGUACAUGCAGAGGCCAGGCCAUUCUCCAAGUCUUCUGAUCUAUAUGGCUUCCAACAGGGCCUCUGGGGUCCCAGACAAGUUCAGUGGUAGUGGGUCAGGGACAGAUUUCACACUGAAAAUCAUCAGGGUGGAGGCUGAGGAUGUUGGAGUCUAUUAUUGCCAGGAUGGUUUAUACUUCCUCACACAGUGGUACAGCUCUAAACAAAAACCUCCCUGCUUGGGGUAGCCCAGCUGCCCAUGUGCUGACUGUGUAGAAGUAAAAUAUACACCCUUUGUGAGAGGAACAGGCUGAGGACUCCGAAGAAUAGUGCACAUCCAAUGCCUCUGGAUAAGGCAUGUCUCAGCUAGACUCAUCACUGCUGCAUUCCUGAUAUUUACCUAAGCAGCAGCAGAAUUAAGAGGGUACCAUUGUCCUUGGAACAGACAGGAACAGAAGACAAGAGAUCUGACUUGUAGCUCA